RNAcentral lists this ribosomal RNA (590 nucleotides) under uncultured beta proteobacterium. RNAcentral describes it as "bacterial SSU rRNA". It matches the Rfam family "Bacterial small subunit ribosomal RNA", at positions 168 to 753 of the family's 1533-position model. Lineage: Bacteria; Pseudomonadati; Pseudomonadota; Betaproteobacteria. The record is from RNAcentral.
ACCGCAUACGAUCUAAGGAUGAAAGCAGGGGACCUUCGGGCCUUGUGCUCCUGGAGCGGCCGAUAUCUGAUUAGCUAGUUGGUGAGGUAAAGGCUCACCAAGGCAUCGAUCAGUAGCUGGUCUGAGAGGACGACCAGCCACACUGGAACUGAGACACGGUCCAGACUCCUACGGGAGGCAGCAGUGGGGAAUUUUGGACAAUGGGCGAAAGCCUGAUCCAGCCAUGCCGCGUGUCUGAAGAAGGCCUUCGGGUUGUAAAGGACUUUUGUCAGGGAGGAAAUCCCUAGCGUUAAUACCGCUGGGGGAUGACAGUACCUGAAGAAUAAGCACCGGCUAACUACGUGCCAGCAGCCGCGGUAAUACGUAGGGUGCGAGCGUUAAUCGGAAUUACUGGGCGUAAAGCGUGCGCAGGCGGUUUGAUAAGCCAGAUGUGAAAUCCCCGAGCUCAACUUGGGAACUGCGUUUGGAACUGUCAGACUAGAGUGCGUCAGAGGGGGGUGGAAUUCCGCGUGUAGCAGUGAAAUGCGUAGAGAUGCGGAGGAACACCGAUGGCGAAGGCAGCCCCCUGGGAUGACACUGACGCUCAUGCA